GCAUUGGUGGUUCAGUUGUAGAAUUCUCGCCUCCCAUGCGGGACACCCAAGUCCGAUUCCCGGCCAAUGCA
Non-coding RNA from Danio rerio (zebrafish), 71 nucleotides. NCBI's taxonomy places the organism in Eukaryota, Metazoa, Chordata, Actinopteri, Cypriniformes, Danionidae. The record is from Rfam.